Molecule: non-coding RNA, 658 nt
Organism: Labrus bergylta (ballan wrasse)
Lineage: Eukaryota; Metazoa; Chordata; Actinopteri; Labriformes; Labridae
Source: RefSeq, a predicted model, not a curated record
ACAAUUCAUAACAUUACUGUGUGAAAAUAGGCAAUGGGAUUCACAGAAACUAGAUACUAACAGUCUGUGUUUUACCACUUUUCAAUAUUAUGUGCGUCUCAUAUUCAUUAGUAAAGAGAGACUGAGAUCAGAUAUUGUUUGGCUAAAUGUAUUUAGUUAUUAUCUUCCUUUUUCUAUAAUUGUUCCUUCUAUAACACAUUUUCAUUAAGUAUUUAAAGUUAAACUGCACUUGCAGCAAGUACAGUAUGUAUUGUACAACAUUGUAACAAAUUUGUGUAUUUUCCCAGAUUGCACUAAGGGAUACCCGUCCUGUGCAGCUACAAAGCUGCCAGUGUACCUGUGUGGCUGGUGCAGCCUUGUGCAACCAUGUGGCAGCACUAUUAUACCAGACUGCACACUAUUCUCAGCUCAACAUCACCACUGUCCCCCCAGUGCACAGCUGCACAGAGACAGAACAGCAGUGGCAUAAACCAAGAACCAUGGGUGUUAAACCUGGUCCUGUAAAUGAAAUGGUCAUCCUUUCAGCCAGACCCAAGGAAAGAAGACUUACACAGGGAGUCAGGAGCAACUUAUAUAAAGGAGUCAGGGCGCGGUCACACUGGCCAUCCGUACCGUGCUCAAGCACGCUUCAACCCUAAAGUCCAGUUCAUUUGACCAG